GCACCGUUAUAGGAUGUCUGCUGUCAUGUACCGUUCUUAUACCAGUUUUCUACAUGAGCAGCAGAUCGUCCGAGCCUCUCUUAUUCUCGUCGGUCAAUGCAAUGGCAGAUUCCCAAAAGCACUGGCAUGAGCGCUAUACGCACAAUGCAGAUCAUAGCAAACCAAUCGGAAGAUUUGUCCUAGAUCAGCAGACAUUGAUUG
Long non-coding RNA from Mya arenaria, 201 nucleotides. RefSeq lists it as uncharacterized. The record is from RefSeq and is a predicted model, not a curated record. The transcript is spliced from 3 exons. NCBI's taxonomy places the organism in Eukaryota, Metazoa, Mollusca, Bivalvia, Myida, Myidae.